AGUCACUGACAUUAGAUACCCGUGUAGUCCCAGCCGUAAACUAUGCGCGUUAGGUGUAUCGGUGACCACGAGUCACCGAGGUGCCGAAGGGAACCGUGAAACGUGCCGCCUGGGAAGUACGGUCGCAAGGCUGAAACUUAAAGGAAUUGGCGGGGGAGCACAACAACGGGUGGAGCCUGCGGUUUAAUUGGACUCAACGCCGGACAACUCACCGGGGACGACAGCAAUAUGUAGGCCAGGCUGAAGACCUUGCCUGAAUCGCUG
Molecule: ribosomal RNA, 264 nt
Filed under: uncultured archaeon
Lineage: Archaea
Description: partial 16S ribosomal RNA
Rfam family: Archaeal small subunit ribosomal RNA
Source: RNAcentral